CAGCAGCCACGGGAAUACGUAGGUGGCAAGCGUUGUCCGGAAUUAUUGGGCGUAAAGGGCUCGCAGGCGGUUUCUUAAGUCUGAUGUGAAAGCCCCCGGCUCAACCGGGGAGGGUCAUUGGAAACUGGGAAACUUGAGUGCAGAAGAGGAGAGUGGAAUUCCACGUGUAGCGGUGAAAUGCGUAGAAAUGUGGAGGAACACCAGUGGCGAAGGCGACUCUCUGGUCUGUAACUGACGCUGAGGAGCGAAAGCGUGGGGAGCGAACAGGAUUAGAUACCCCGGUAGUCCCUGUCUCUUAUAU
This 301-nucleotide ribosomal RNA is filed under the name uncultured bacterium. Its description in RNAcentral is "partial 16S ribosomal RNA". It matches the Rfam family "Bacterial small subunit ribosomal RNA", at positions 509 to 809 of the family's 1533-position model. The record is from RNAcentral.